UUUUCCUAUUUGUUGAAGGAAAGAACAAUAUAAUUACCUUAAUUGGGUUUUCCUUUUUGUAGAAGGAAAUUAUAAUUCUCCUAUACUUGGCUAGUCCUUUUUCUUGUAGGAAAAGGUUUGGAGUUCUAUAAAUUGAAGAUCCGUCCUUCUCAUUCAGUAGCAUCCACAAUGUAGCCAUAGGGGCUUGAGAGUAGUGUUUAGGGGAGAACUUUACGGGACAAGUGUUAGUGUGUCACUUGUGUUUGCCUCUUCGUGAGGUUGUUCUCUCUAUAUUUUGUACUCUCUUUUUAUAUAGUGGAUUGCUCAUCUCCGUUGUGGACGUAGGUCAGUUGACCGAACCACGUUAAAUGUUUGUGUCUCUUUUGGUAUAUUUCUUUUUGUUGUAUGAUUUAUCGUCGUUCAAGGUUUGUUUUGCUAGCUUCCGCAUGACACCUGAUUUUUCACAGUGAUUGAUAACUUAACUCCAACCUAUUGACAACUUUAAGUAAAAUCAAUAUCUUUUCCAGCCUACUCUAGUGUUUAGUUUUAUAAACUAUUAGAGUUAGUGUGAAAUUGAACGAGGACCCUUUAUAUUAUUAUUGUCUAAAUUACCCUAUGUUCUUAACAAUUGACUAUCUGAUAUUCUUGAUGAGAAGAUAGUUGUCACUAUACUUCUAUAGUUUCUUAUGAACCCUGCUCUAGUGUUUAGUUUAGUGAUAGUAUCUUCAAUGGAGAUUGUUUCACUUCUCUCAUAUCGUAGGAGCUCUUGUUUCAUCAUUUUUUUGCCUCUUAUGUAUGUAAAUGUAAGCUCGAAAAAGAUGGCUUUUCUUUUAGACUAUGCUAGAAGAUGAUAAUCCUUGUAUAGUAGAAAGCCAAUAUUUCUUUUGGAUUUUGGGGAUAAUUUGAUCUAUUACUUAUUGCUCCUUCUUUUCCUUGGUGUCUUAAAAUUUUAAUAACAAUAUAUGUUUUCCUCUCUGCAGCUUGAGAUUCCUUCAUGGAACUCCUUGCCUUCUUCCUAUAGCAGUUUGUUCAGCUCGUUAUGCUAAGUUUGUCAUAAAAUGUAAUCCAAACCAGAUGACAUGCGAUAAAAUUGGUGAAUCAACUGAAGUGGCCCUUCUGGUAGGGAAAAGGUUAGUCUUCACUUUGAACCUUGUACUUUUUUGUUGUAGUGUUUAUUUUAAUUUAUAUACAUUUUGGAUACAUGUAUAUUAAAGUUUCACAGUGAUUGAUAACUUAACUCCAACCUAUUGACAACUUUAAGUAAAAUCAAUAUCUUUUCCAGCCUACUCUAGUGUUUAGUUUUAUAAACUAUUAGAGUUAGUGUGAAAUUGAACGAGGACCCUUUAUAUUAUUAUUGUCUAAAUUACCCUAUGUUCUUAACAAUUGACUAUCUGAUAUUCUUGAUGAGAAGAUAGUUGUCACUAUACUUCUAUAGUUUUUUAUGAACCCUGCUCUAGUGUUUAGUUUAGUGAUAGUAUCUUCAAUGGAGAUUGUUUCACUUCUCUCAUAUCGUAGGAGCUCUUGUUUCAUCAUACAUGCUGAUAGCAUCCUAGGAAGCUCAACUCUACUCAAGGAUAAAGGACGUGAAUUGGCUAGGUGAUAGCAUAAAGGACAAGGAUAAAGUUUUGAAAGCUCUAAGGCCAUAUACAAUAUCUCAAGCUAAAGAGAUGCAAACUAAGGUUGCUAGACUUCAAUGGCAAAUAAAGAAGCUUUUAAUUGUAGAGGAAGAGCUCAAGCCCAAAGGAGAUGAAUUGUCCAAGUUUUACAAUUAUUUGGUAAUCCAAAUUGAAGUCCAAGAAGAGGAAGAUUGGGUUACCAAAUCAGCCCUUGAAGUCCACCAAUAGGGCUCAAAAUGACCUUAAAAGAGGUCCAAAAGGGGGUGUUUCAAAAGGAGCCCAAUUGGAGUUCAAACCAAUGGCCCAAACUAAUAGUUUUAAGGCCCAAAUCUGCCCCAAAAGGAUUUGGCCGCCCCCCCCGCCCC
This 1960-nucleotide long non-coding RNA is filed under the name Nicotiana tabacum (common tobacco). Its description in RNAcentral is "long non-coding RNA (NTAB_LNC010475)". Lineage: Eukaryota; Viridiplantae; Streptophyta; Magnoliopsida; Solanales; Solanaceae. The record is from RNAcentral.